GCCUUCGUGGUGUAGUGGUCUGCAUGGCCGACGCGUAACCGAGAGGUCCGUGGUUCGAUUCCCGGCGAAGGCG
Molecule: transfer RNA, 73 nt
Filed under: Stegodyphus mimosarum
Lineage: Eukaryota; Metazoa; Arthropoda; Arachnida; Araneae; Eresidae
Rfam family: tRNA
About the family: Transfer RNA (tRNA) molecules are approximately 80 nucleotides in length. Their secondary structure includes four short double-helical elements and three loops (D, anti-codon, and T loops). Further hydrogen bonds mediate the characteristic L-shaped molecular structure. tRNAs have two regions of fundamental functional importance: the anti-codon, which is responsible for specific mRNA codon recognition, and the 3' end, to which the tRNAs corresponding amino acid is attached (by aminoacyl-tRNA synthetases). tRNAs cope with the degeneracy of the genetic code in two manners: having more than one tRNA (with a specific anti-codon) for a particular amino acid; and 'wobble' base-pairing, i.e. permitting non-standard base-pairing at the 3rd anti-codon position.
Source: Rfam by way of RNAcentral